RNAcentral lists this long non-coding RNA (281 nucleotides) under Carica papaya (papaya). Its description in RNAcentral is "long non-coding RNA (CPAP_LNC016199)". The record is from RNAcentral. Lineage: Eukaryota; Viridiplantae; Streptophyta; Magnoliopsida; Brassicales; Caricaceae.
UGCGUGAUUUUUACAUCAUUUCGAACACCAUUUCUUCCUCUAUAGAUUGACCGGAAUAAAACACCCAACAGCAAUGUGAGCCAGAGUAGCCGCCGCACCAGAGAGGCCCGCCACCGAUGAGUUUCAAUUUUUUGUAAUUUUUUCAGCCAACCGAGGCCCCUUAACAUGUUUUCUCAUAGGGAUCAAUGCAAAAUCGGCCAAAUUCGACCAAAAAUAGCCAAAAACAGCCGACCCGAGGCAGACUGCUGCUGCGGGCGGCAACGCUGUCGCUGGAUCACAGC